RNAcentral lists this unclassified non-coding RNA (291 nucleotides) under uncultured fungus. RNAcentral's name for it is "partial contains small subunit ribosomal RNA, internal transcribed spacer 1, and 5.8S ribosomal RNA". The stretch from base 1 to 73 matches the Rfam family "Eukaryotic small subunit ribosomal RNA", at positions 1759 to 1831 of the family's 1831-position model. Lineage: Eukaryota; Fungi. The record is from RNAcentral.
GCAAACUUGGUCAUUUAGAGGAAGUAAAAGUCGUAACAAGGUCUCCGUAGGUGAACCUGCGGAGGGAUCAUUACCGAGUUCUCGCCCUCGCGGGCAGACCUCCCACCCACUGCUAUAACUACCGUCGUUGCUUUGGCGGGCCGCCGGGCCUAGCCCGGCCGCCAGCACCUGCCGGCGCGCGCCCGCCAGAGGCCUACAAACACUGAACGUCUGCGCCGUCUGAGCACUACGUGAAUAAUCAAAACUUUCAACAACGGAUCUCUUGGUUCUGGCAUCGAUGAAGAACGCAGC